This 2163-nucleotide long non-coding RNA is filed under the name Anas platyrhynchos platyrhynchos (common mallard). RNAcentral's name for it is "lncRNA (ENSAPLG00000018453.1)". Lineage: Eukaryota; Metazoa; Chordata; Aves; Anseriformes; Anatidae. The record is from RNAcentral.
UGUUGUGGCUGGCAGGUUUCAUGGCACGGCACCCAGCCUACGGUUUGUGCCACGGCCAAAGCCAAGCAGGCUGUCAGCUCCCUGCUGUCCUCGGCCAUCGCAGGGGAAAAGCCUUCCCAGGGGGGCACGGAGCUGUGCUGGGUCAUCUGCCUGCUGCUGGAGCCCCGCGCCUGCUGCAAGCCCGAGCCCCGGCCCAGGCAGGCCCUGGCCGAGCGGGGCUGUGACGUGGCCGUGGUGCCUCCUGUGAAACGCUUCCCUCCCCGCCUGGAGCGGGCAGAGAGCCCGCAAUGAGCCCUUGUCAGGUGUGCUGCUGUGCUAAUAACGCUGCUCGCAUUGCUGCGCUUUGUUGCUUUGUGUUUUUGAAGCCUACAGCACUUUGUUCGUGGCUAAUAUGAAAAGCAGGCAGCUUCCACAGCACUCGGGGAGAGAGACGCAACUCUUCGGAAGAAGAUAAAGAGCUUCUGCAAAUAUUUAUGCACAGAAAAUCGAUCAAACUGUAAUGUGUCUCGUUUAAAAAACAAUUGUGUGUAUUUGUGUGGUUGUAGCUCCUGCAGCUGGCGUGAGAAGGAAAAGCUGUUUGUCUAUCGCAGGUGGAUGGGUGGAGAAAUUGCCCACCAAAACACCCAGAGGCAGCAUCAGGGACAAGAAGGGACAGUUCCUGUGCCAUGGGGCAGUGAUGCCACCUGGUCCUCAGCCCACCAGGAAAGCACUCGGUGCUGCAGGAGCACAGGCUUCUGCUGGUGCCUGUGAUGGAGACACCUGGGGGCGUUGGCAGGAUUUUAUUUAAUGCUCUCAAUCGCCUGCUGGGGCUGUUGAGAAACAGGUGCCUGCAUCUCCUCUGGGGCCUGAGCCUGUCCUGGCCGCUGGGUGCUGCUGCAGGGGCUUGGAGUUUGCCUCGUCCUCCUGCUGGCUGCUGCUGCUGCUCCCUGCCUGCCCCUGAGCACCUCAGUAGGAGUCUGCCAUUCCUUCAAGAAAGAGGCGUACUUGCCAAAACACCCAGAUGCCGCCUGACUUCUUUCUAGGAGACAAAAUAGGAGAGUUCCUUGUCUGUGCUGUGCUCCGAACUUGGCCAUGAGCAUGCAGAGAACAGGUGGGACUGUGCCCUUGCAUGGACUGGGCGGCUGGCGGGCCAGUAUGGGAGCAGACCGAAUUAACACAGAGGACAUGAGUGGCACAUCCCAGAGCCCUGGUGGAGUCACCCUGAGCCGGUCGUGCUGCCGUCCCUGCCGCCGCCUCCCGCACGUGCUAUUCAAUGAGAAACGUGAGUUUUAUGGGGAGGGGGGGGGGGGGGGGAAAUCUUCAAAUAUUCAUUUUAUUGUGAAAUGAUUUUUUUUUCCUUUACAUGUGAGAUUUCCAGAAACUUGCCAGCAGGGCGGUUCUCUAAGGAUGAACAUUUGCUGAAAGCCUGUUUUAAAGGAUGUGUGUGUAUUCAUAGAAACAGACCUUCGCAUUCUAACACACGACUGACUACAGUGGGAGUUGUCCUUCCCACAGCUACUGAGACGAAACUGGGCCUUGUUACUUAUUUUAUCAGUUGCAGAUAAGCAAGGUAACGUGGAAUUAACAAUCUACAGUAUGGGAUAAAAAACUAUUUAAAGAGGCUGCUUCUUGGUUAAAAAUCAUCAAAGAGAUAACAACCCAUUGUGUAUCUGCAGAGAGAAAGAUGAAUCAGUUAUCCUACUGUAGAGAAGUACUUAAAAAUACCCUUAAACUUUUUUUUUUUUUUUUCAUCUUCUCUAAUGAUUUGAGAGACUUCUCUGUCUAGAUAUGUUGAUGAAAAUCCGAUGGAAAUUCACAGCUUUUCUGACGCUGUUGGCUCUGGCUAUGCAAUGUGCUUAGGAAUGUUUCCAAGAUAAGGAUGUCAAAAUUAAGCCCAGUAUUAAGCUUUCAUUUCUGAUACCUUAUAACAGGAUUCAUCAGGAUUUAGUCCUUUUGAUCAAGCCAGGAGGUUUAAGAAUCCCACAAGACUCGAUACGAUCUUACCAGCUGAAUGCUUGUCAGCGUCUUAUUUCUACACAUCACGCAUGAUCCCGUGAUUUGUCUUUGUUUCUGUCUUUUUACUGUGUUUUGUGGAUCUUUAGAGGGAGUACAUUGCUAAGCUUAGUUUAACUAGAACAAUCUCUAUUAAAUAAAAUUUGUUCUGGAUAGAUAAGUGUCCCUGUU